GAGGUGUUGUCUAGGGUUUCACUACGACACUACCUCGAAGGUUUAUUAUAGGGAGAAGUUGUAGGGAGAAGUUGGGCCGAGUGGAACGAAUGAGGCUGUAGAGGCUUAUUAUAGGGAGAGGGGUCUGGCCCAGUGGAACGAAUGGGAGGGAAAAAUAUUCAUGGAGGGGUGUGUGUGUGUGGGGGGGGGGGUCCAAAUAUUCCUUUAACUGAUAAAAUUGGAGAUAGCUAAUUUUUUUGGCCUAACUGAUCCAAACAAGGGAACAUGAGAAUUGAUUGAUAAAUUCUUGGAAUCGGCCACAUGAUACCCGUCAAUUUCUCAACCAAAGAUCAUUUCUCAAUCAGAAAACAAAAGAUUGUCUACUACUCCAUCCGUUUCAAAAUGCAAGUAGUUUUGAAUUUUCUAUACAGAUAGGUCCUGCUAUGCACCUAAAUAUAGAGUUAUACCUAGAUAAAUAACAUCUAUAGCCUUGACCGGAGCUUGGAGAUCCCUUGCAACUGUAGCAGCCGCCAUGGGAGUUGGAGGUGUUGUCUAGGGUUUCACUACGACACUACCUGGAAGGCUUAUUAUAGGGAGAAAUUGUAGGGAGAAGUUGGGCCGAGUGGAAGGAAUGAGGCUGUAGAGGCUUAUUAUAGGGAGAGGGGUCUGGCCCAGUGGAACGAAUGGGAGGGAAAAAUGUUCACGGAGGGGUGUGUGUGGGGGGGGUCCAAAUAUUUCUUUAACUGAUCAAAUAGGAGAUAGCUAAUUUUUUUAGCCUAACUGAUCCAAACAAGGGAACAUGAGAAUUGAUUGAUAAAUUCUUGGAAUCGGCCACAUGAUACCCGUCAAUUUCUCAACCAAAGAUCAUUUCUCAAUAAGAAAACCAAAGCUUGUCUACUACUCUAUCCGUUUCAAAAUGCAAGUAGUUUUGAAUUUUCUAUACAGAUAGGUCCUCCUAUGCACCUAAAUAUAGAGUUAUACCUAGAUAAUUAACAUCUAUAGCCUUAACCAGAGCUUGGAGACCCCUUGCAACUGUAGCAGCCGCUAUGGAAGUUGGAGGUGUUUUCUAGGGUUUCACUACGACACUACCUGGAAGGCUUAUUAUAGGGAGAAGUUGUAGGGAGAAGUUGGGCCGAUUGGAACGAAUGAGGCUGUAGAGGCUUAUUAUAGGGAGAGGGGUCUGGCCCAGUGGAACGAAUGGGAGGGGAAAAUGUUUAUGGAGGGGUGUGUGUGUGUGGGGGGGGGUCCAAAUAUUCCUUUAACUGAUCAAAUAGGAGAUAGCUAAUUUUUUUAGCCUAACUAAUCCAAACAAGGGAACAUGAGAAUUGAUUGAUAAAUUCUUGGAAUCGGCCACAUGAUACCCGUCAAUUUCUCAACCAAAGAUCAUUUCUCAAUCAGAAAACCAAAGCUUGUCUACUACUCCAUCCGUUUCAAAAUGCAAGUAGUUUUGAAUUUUCUAUACAGAUAGGUCCUGCUAUGCACCUAAAUAUAGAGUUAUACCUAGAUUAAUAACAUCUAUAGCCUUGACCAGAGCUUGGAGACCCCUUGCAACUGUAGCAGCCGCCAUGGGAGUUGGAGGUGUUGUCUACGGUUUCACUACGACACUACCUGGAAGGCUUAUUAUAGGGAGAAGUUGUAGGGAGAAGUUGGGCCGAGUGGAACGAAUGAGGUUGUAGAGGCUUAUUAUAGGGAGAGGGGUCUGGCCCAGUGGAACGAAUGGGAGGGAAAAAUGUUCAUGGAGGGGUGUGUGGGGGGGGUCCAAAUAUUUCUUUAACUGAUCAAAUAGGAGAUAGCUAAUUUUUUUGGCUAACUGAUCCAAACAAGGGAACAUGAGAUUUGAUUGAUAAAUUCUUGGAAUCGGCCACAUGAUACCCGUCAAUUUCUCAACCAAAGAUUAUUUCUCAAUCAGAAAACAAAAGAUUGUCUACUACUCCAUCCGUUUCAAAAUGCAAGUAGUUUUGAAUUUUCUAUACAGAUAGGUCCUGCUAUGCACCUAAAUAUAGAGUUAUACCUAGAUAAAUAACAUCUAUAGCCUUGACCGGAGCUUGGAGAUCCCUUGCAACUGUAGCAGCCGCCAUGGGAGUUGGAGGUGUUGUCUAGGGUUUCACUACGACACUACCUGGAAGGCUUAUUAUAGGGAGAAGUUGUAGGGAGAAGUUGGGCCGAGUGGAACGAAUGAGGCUGUAGAGGCUUAUUAUAGGGAGAGGGGUCUGGCCCAGUGGAACGAAUGGGAGGGAAAAAUGUUCAUGGAGGGGUGUGUGGGGGGGGUCCAAAUAUUUCUUUAACUGAUCAAAUAGGAGAUAGCUAAUUUUUUUAGCCUAACUGAUCCAAACAAGGGAACAUGAGAAUUGAUUGAUAAAUUCUUGGAAUCGGCCACAUGAUACUCGUCAAUUUCUCAACCAAAGAUCAUUUCUCAAUCAGAAAACCAAAGCUUGUCUACUACUCCAUCCGUUUCAAAAUGCAAGUAGUUUUGAAUUUUCUAUACAGAUAGGUCCUGCUAUGCACCUAAAUAUAGAGUUAUACCUAGAUAAAUAACAUCUAUAGCCUUAACCAGAGCUUGGAGACCCCUUGCAACUGUAGCAGCCGCCAUGGGAGUUGGAGGUGUUGUCUAGGGUUUCACUACGAUACUACCUGGAAGGCUUAUUAUUGGGAGAAGUUGUAGGGAGAAGUUGGGCCGAGUGGAACGAAUGAGGCUGGAGAGGCUUAUUAUAGGGAGAGGGGUCUGGCCCAGUGGAACGAAUGGGAGGGGAAAAUGUUUAUGGAGGGGUGUGUGUGUGGGGGGGGGGUCCAAAUAUUCGUUUAACUGAUCAAAUAGGAGAUAGCUAAUUUUUUUAGCCUAACUGAUCCAAACAAGGGAAAAUGAGAAUUGAUUGAUAAAUUCUUGGAAUUGGUCACAUGAUACCCGUCAAUUUCUCUAACCAAAGAUCAUUUCUCAAUCAGAAAACCAAAGCUUGUCUACUACUCCAUCCGUUUCAAAAUGCAAGUAGUUUUGAAUUUUCUAUACAGAUAGGUCCUGCUAUGCACCUAAAUAUAGAGUUAUACCUAGAUAAAUAACAUCUAUAGCCUUGACCAGAGCUUGGAGACCCCUUGAAACUGUAGCAGCCGCCAUGGGAGUUGGAGGUGUUGUCUAGGGUUUCACUACGACACUACCUGAAAGGCUUAUUAUAGGGAGAAGUUGUAGGGAGAAGUUGGGCCGAGUGGAACGAAUGAGGCUGUAGAGGCUUAUUAUAGGGACAGGGGUCUGGCCCAGUGGAACGAAUGGGAGGGAAAAAUGUUCAUGGAGGGGUGUGUGGGGGGGGUCCAAAUAUUUCUUUAACUGAUCAAAUAGGAGAUAGCUAAUUUUUUUAGCCUAACUGAUCCAAACAAGGGAACAUGAGAAUUGAUUGAUAAAUUCUUGGAAUCGGCCACAUGAUACCCGUCAAUUUCUCAACCAAAGAUCAUUUCUCAAUCAGAAAACCAAAGCUUGUCUACUACUCCAUCCGUUUCAAAAUGCAAGUAGUUUUGAAUUUUCUAUACAGAUAGGUCCUGCCUAUGCACCUAAAUAUAGAGUUAUACCUAGAUAAAUAACAUCUAUAGCCUUAACCAGCAGCUUGGAGACCCCUUGCAACUGUAGCAGCCGCCAUGGGAGUUGGAUGUGUUGUCUAGGGUUUCACUACGACACUACCUGGAAGGCUUAUUAUAGGGAGAAGUUGUAGGGAGAAGGUUGGCCGAUUGGAACGAAUGAGGCUGUAGAGGCUUAUUAUAGGGAGAGGGGUCUGGCCCAGUGGAACGAAUGGGAGGGAAAAAUAGUUCAUGGAGGGGUGUGUGUGUGGGGGGGGGGGUCCAAAUAUUCCUUUAACUGAUAAAAUAGGAGAUAGCUAAUUUUUUUAGCCUAACUGAUCCAAACAAGGCGAACAUGAGAAUUGAUUGAUAAAUUCUUGGAAUCGGCCACAUGAUACCCGUCAAUUUCUCAACCAAAGAUCAUUUCUCAAUCAGAAAACCAAAGAUUGUCUACUACUCCAUCCGUUUCAAAAUGCAAGUAGUUUUAAAUUUUCUAUACAGAUAGGUCCUGCUAUGCACCUAAAUAUAGAGUUAUACCUAGAUAAAUAACAUCUAUAGCCUUGACCAGAGCUUGGAGAUCCCUUGCAACUGUAGCAGCCGCCAUGGGAGUUGGAGGUGUUGUCUAGGGUUUCACUACGACACUACCUGGAAGGCUUAUUAUAGGGAGAAGUUGUAGGGAGAAGGUUGGGCCAAGUGGAACGAAUGAGGCUGUAGAGGCUUAUUAUAGGGAGAGGGGUCUGGCCCAGUGGAACGAAUGGGAGGGAAAAAUGUUCAUGGAGGGGUGUGUGUGGGGGGGGGUCCAAAUAUUCCUUUAACUGAUCAAAUAGGAGAUAGCUAAUUUUUUAGCCUAACUGAUCCAAACAAGGGAACAUGAGAAUUGAUUGAUAAAUUCUUGGAAUCGGCCACAUGAUACCCGUCAAUUUCUCAACCAAAGAUCAUUUCUCAAUCAGAAAACCAAAGCUUGUCUACUACUCCAUCCGUUUCAAAAUGCAAGUAGUUUUGAAUUUUCUAUACAGAUAGGUCCUGCUAUGCACCUAAAUAUAGAGUUAUACCUAGAUAAAUAACAUCUAUAGCCUUGACCAGAGCUUGGAGACCCCUUGCAACUGUAGCAGCCGCCAUGGGAGUUGGAGGUGUUGUCUAGGGUUUCACUACGACACUACCUGGAAGGCUUAUUAUAGGGAGAAGUUGUAGGGAGAAGUUGGGCUGAGUGGAACGAAUGAGGCUGUAGAGGCUUAUUAUAGGGAGAGGGGUCUGGCCCAGUGGAACGAAUGGGAGGGCAAAAAUGUUCAUGGAGGGUGUGUGUUGGGGGGGGUUCCAAAUAUUCCUUUAACUGAUCAAAUAGGAGAUAGCUAAUUUUUUUAGCCUAACUGAUCCAAACAAGGGAACAUGAGAAUUGAUUGAUAAAUUCUUGGAAUCGGCCACAUGAUACCCGUCAAUUUCUCAACCAAAGAUCAUUUCUCAAUCAGAAAACCAAAGGUUGUCUACUACUCCAUCCGUUUCAAAAUGCAAGUAGUUUUGAAUUUUCUAUACAGAUAGGUCCUGCUAUGCACCUAAAUAUAGAGUUAUACCUAGAUAAAUAACAUCUAUAGCCUUGACCAGAGCUUGGAGACCCCUUGCAACUGUAGCAGCCGCCAUGGGAGUUGGAGGUGUUGUCUAGGGUUUCACUACGACACUACCUGGAAGGCUUAUUAUAGGGAGAAGUUGUAGGGAGAAGUUGGGCUGAGUGGAACGAAUGAGGCUGUAGAGGCUUAUUAUAGGGAGAGGGGUCUGGCCCAGUGGAACGAAUGGGAGGCAAAAAUGUUCAUGGAGGGGUGUGUGUGGGGGGGGGGUCCAAAUAUUCCUUUAACUGAUCAAAUAGGAGAUAGCUAAUUUUUUAGCCUAACUGAUCCAAACAAGGGAACAUGAGCAUUGAUUGAUAAAUUCUUGGAAUCGGCCACAUGAUACCCGUCAACCAAAGAUCAUUUCUCAAUCAGAAAACCAAAGCUUGUCUACUACUCUAUCCGUUUCAAAAUGCAAGUAGUUUUGAAUUUUCUAUACAGAUAGGUCCUGCUAUGCACCUAAAUAUAGAGGUAUACCUAGAUAAAUAACAUCUAUAGCCUUAACCAGAGCUUGGAGACCCCUUGCAACUGUAGCAGCCGCCAUGGGAGUUGGAUGUGUUGUCUAGGGUUUCACUACGACACUACCUGGAAGGCUUAUUAUAGAGAGAUGUUGUAGGGAGAAGGUUGGCCAAUUGGACCGAAUGAGGCUGUAGAGGCUUAUUAUAGGGAGAGGGGUCUGGCCCAGUGGAACGAAUGGGAGGGAAAAAUGUUCAUGGAGGGGUGUGUGUGGGGGGGGGGGGGUCCAAAUAUUCCUUUAACUGAUCAAAUAGGAGAUAGCUAAUUUUUUUAGCCUAACUAAUCCAAACAAGGGAACAUGAGAAUUGAUUGAUAAAUUCUUGGAAUCGGCCACAUGAUACCCGUCAAUUUCUCAACCAAAGAUCAUUUCUCAAUCAGAAAACCAAAGCUUGUCUACUACUCCAUCCGUUUCAAAAUGCAAGUAGUUUUGAAUUUUCUAUACAGAUAGGUCCUGCUAUGCACCUAAAUAUAGAGUUAUACCUAGAUAAAUAACAUCUAUAGCCUUGACCAGAGCUUGGAGACCCCUUGCAACUGUAGCAGCCGCCAUGGGAGUUGGAGGUGUUGUCUAGGGUUUCACUACGACACUACCUGGAAGGCUUAUUAUAGGGAGAAGUUGUAGGGAGAAGUUGGGCCGAGUGGAACGAAUGAGGCUUUAGAGGCUUAUUAUAGGGAGAGGGGUCUGGCCCAGUGGAACGAAUGGGAGGCAAAAAUGUUCAUGGAGGGGUGUGUGGGGGGGGGGUCCAAAUAUUCCUUUAACUGAUCAAAUAGGAGAUAGCUAAUUUUUUAGCCUAACUGAUCCAAACAAGGGAACAUGAGAAUUGAUUGAUAAAUUCUUGGAAUCGGCCACAUGAUACCCGUCAAUUUCUCAACCAAAGAUCAUUUCUCAAUCAGAAAACCAAAGCUUGUCUACUACUCUAUCCGUUUCAAAAUGCAAGUAGUUUUGAAUUUUCUAUACAGAUAGGUCCUGCUAUGCACCUAAAUAUAGAGGUAUACCUAGAUAAAUAACAUCUAUAGCCUUAACCAGAGCUUGGAGACCCCUUGCAACUGUAGCAGCCGCCAUGGGAGUUGGAUGUGUUGUCUAGGGUUUCACUACGACACUACCUGGAAGGCUUAUUAUAGAGAGAUGUUGUAGGGAGAAGGUUGGCCAAUUGGACCGAAUGAGGCUGUAGAGGCUUAUUAUAGGGAGAGGGGUCUGGCCCAGUGGAACGAAUGGGAGGGAAAAAUGUUCAUGGAGGGGUGUGUGUGGGGGGGGGUCCAAAUAUUCCUUUAACUGAUCAAAUAGGAGAUAGCUAAUUUUUUUAGCCUAACUAAUCCAAACAAGGGAACAUGAGAAUUGAUUGAUAAAUUCUUGGAAUCAGCCACAUGAUACCCGUCAAUUUCUCAACCAAAGAUCAUUUCUCAAUCAGAAAACCAAAGCUUGUCUACUAAUCCAUCCGUUUCAAAAUGCAAGUAGUUUUGAAUUUUCUAUACAGAUAGGUCCUGCUAUGCACCUAAAUAUAGAGUUAUACCUAGAUAAAUAACAUCUAUAGCCUUGACCAGAGCUUGGAGACCCCUUGCAACUGUAGCAGCCGCCAUGGGAGUUGGAGGUGUUGUCUAGGGUUUCACUACGACACUACCUGGAAGGCUUAUUAUAGGGAGAAGUUGUAGGGAGAAGUUGGGCCGAGUGGAACGAAUGAGGCUUUAGAGGCUUAUUAUAGGGAGAGGGGUCUGGCCCAGUGGAACGAAUGGGAGGCAAAAAUGUUCAUGGAGGGGUGUGGGGGGGGGGGGUCCAAAUAUUCCUUUAACUGAUCAAAUAGGAGAUAGCUAAUUUUUUAGCCUAACUGAUCCAAACAAGGGAACAUGAGAAUUGAUUGAUAAAUUCUUGGAAUCGGCCACAUGAUACCCGUCAAUUUCUCAACCAAAGAUCAUUUCUCAAUCAGAAAACCAAAGCUUGUCUACUACUCCAUCCGUUUCAAAAUGCAUGUAGUUUUGAAUUUUCUAUACAGAUAGGUCCUGCUAUGCACCUAAAUAUAGAGUUAUACCUAGAUAAAUAACAUCUAUAGCCUUAACCAGAGCUUGGAGACCCCUUGCAACUGUAGCAGCCGCCAUGGGAGUUGGAUGUGUUGUCUAGGGUUUCACUACGACACUACCUGGAAGGCUUAUUAUAGAGAGAUGUUGUAGGGAGAAGGUUGGCCAAUUGGAACGAAUGAGGCUGUAGAGGCUUAUUAUAGGGAGAGGGGUCUGGCCCAGUGGAACGAAUGGGAGGGAAAAAUGUUCAUGGAGGGGUGUGUGUGGGGGGGGUCCAAAUAUUCCUUUAACUGAUCAAAUAGGAGAUAGCUAAUUUUUUUAGCCUAACUGAUCCAAACAAGGGAACAUGAGAAUUGAUUGAUAAAUUCUUGGAAUCGGCCACAUGAUACCCGUCAAUUUCUCAACCAAAGAUCAUUUCUCAAUCAGAAA
RNAcentral lists this long non-coding RNA (8069 nucleotides) under Setaria viridis. Its description in RNAcentral is "long non-coding RNA (SVIR_LNC005311)". Lineage: Eukaryota; Viridiplantae; Streptophyta; Magnoliopsida; Poales; Poaceae. The record is from RNAcentral.